UGGGGAAUAUUGCACAAUGGGCGCAAGCCUGAUGCAGCCAUGCCGCGUGUGUGAAGAAGGCCCUCGGGUUGUAAAGCACUUUCAGCGGGGAGGAAGGCGUUAAGGUUAAUAACCUUGGCGAAUGACGUUACCCGCAGAAGAAGCACCGGCUAACUCCGUGCCAGCAGCCGCGGUAAUACGGAGGGUGCAAGCGUUAAUCGGAAUUACUGGGCGUAAAGCGCACGCAGGCGGUUUGUUAAGUCAGAUGUGAAAUCCCCGGGCUCAACCUGGGAACUGCAGCUGAUACUGGCAAGCUGGAGUCACGUAGAGGGGGGUAGAAUUCCAGGUGUAGCAGUGAAAUGCGUAGAGAUCUGGAGGAAUACCGGUGGCGAAGGCGGCCCCCUAGACGGAGACUGACGCUCAGGUGCGAAAGCGUGGGGAGCAAACAGG
RNAcentral lists this ribosomal RNA (429 nucleotides) under Chloroflexota bacterium. RNAcentral describes it as "Chloroflexi bacterium partial 16S ribosomal RNA". It matches the Rfam family "Bacterial small subunit ribosomal RNA", at positions 355 to 776 of the family's 1533-position model. Lineage: Bacteria; Bacillati; Chloroflexota. The record is from RNAcentral.